GGCUGCUGCCCCGCGGCGUGCCCGGGGUGGUGGCGCGGCGUGCGCGCCCCCGCGGGCGGGUCCCCGCCGGCUGAGUCAGAGCCCCCCCGGCGUGAGGGGAGGUCACGUGGUGCGGGGGGGGGUGACGGGAGGGGGUUCCCUGAGGUGAAGCCGCCCUGAGCCGCGUCAAGGUCUGCGGGUCUGCUCUGCGGAAUUCCUCUCCCCCUGUCGGCAGGCAGGGAGCGGGGGGGGCUGGCGGCGGCUGUUGUCCUCCCGGAACCUGCUGGGAAACCUCCCAGAACGAUUUAUUCCGCUGGAAGCGGAGAGUGCCGCAGGAAGAGCAGGCGGGCGGAUUCUCCAGCCUGAAGGAAAAAUGAGGGUAUUACAACUAAAAAAAAUAAAAAUGGUCUGAAACGCUUCUCA
Long non-coding RNA from Cygnus olor (mute swan), 402 nucleotides. RefSeq lists it as uncharacterized. NCBI's taxonomy places the organism in Eukaryota, Metazoa, Chordata, Aves, Anseriformes, Anatidae. The transcript has 2 exons. The record is from RefSeq and is a predicted model, not a curated record.